GAUCAUGGCUCAGGACGAACGCUGGCGGCGUGCCUAACACAUGCAAGUCGAACGGAACUGUUUUGAAAGAUUUCUUCGGAAUGAAUUUGAUUUAGUUUAGUGGCGGACGGGUGAGUAACGCGUGAGUAACCUGCCUUCAAGAGGGGGAGUAACAUUCUGAAAGAAAUGCUAAUACCGCAUGAUAUAUCGGAACCACAUGGUUUUGUAUAUCAAAGAUUUAUUCGCUGUAAGGAAUGGACGUCGCGUCCGU
This 250-nucleotide ribosomal RNA is filed under the name uncultured bacterium. RNAcentral's name for it is "partial 16S ribosomal RNA". It matches the Rfam family "Bacterial small subunit ribosomal RNA", at positions 15 to 240 of the family's 1533-position model. The record is from RNAcentral.